RNAcentral lists this ribosomal RNA (253 nucleotides) under uncultured bacterium. Its description in RNAcentral is "partial 16S ribosomal RNA". It matches the Rfam family "Bacterial small subunit ribosomal RNA", at positions 524 to 776 of the family's 1533-position model. The record is from RNAcentral.
UACGUAGGGUGCGAGCGUUGUCCGGAAUUAUUGGGCGUAAAGAGCUCGUAGGCGGUUUGUUGCGUCGGCCGUGAAAACCUGCAGCUUAACUGUGGGCCUGCGGCCGAUACGGGCAGACUUGAGUUCGGUAGGGGAGACUGGAAUUCCUGGUGUAGCGGUGAAAUGCGCAGAUAUCUGGAGGAACACCGGUGGCGAAGGCGGCAUCCUGGACCGGCAUUGACGCUGAGGAGCGAAAGCCAGGGGAGCAAACGGG